Molecule: long non-coding RNA, 1319 nt
Organism: Paramisgurnus dabryanus
Lineage: Eukaryota; Metazoa; Chordata; Actinopteri; Cypriniformes; Cobitidae
Source: RefSeq, a predicted model, not a curated record
UUAGAUGUCGCUGUAGAUUUAGCAGCACUGUACUGUAAAAAUCCACAGUACUAUACUGUAUGUGUACAUUACAGUACAGUACUGCAGUUCAUAAUGCAUUCUGGGUAAAUUUGUUUGAGCGGGAAAAUUUUACAGUAUAUUUUGGUCUUGAUGUAACCUUGCUGUAGCCAUUGCUGUAAUGUGCCAGGUGUACUUGCAAUAAUCAGUGAAAGUGCGCCAACGUCAAAUCACACAGACAGAGGGAGAGCACAACUCUUGGCUGCAGCUGAAGGAGGACGAUUGAUUUCUGUCAGUUCGUCUUACCAUUGCUUGUAAGCUGGAUUGGGUAAGAUGGAUCAUCUUUAAAGGCACCAGGAGUUAAGGCAGAUGUGGAGGCACAAUGGGUGACACCAGACACACACCAAGCACAUUAUGUUCGGACAUUCAAUCAUGACAUGAUCCAUGUGGAUGCUGUCCAUUGAGGAAAGAGUUUGUUCAGCGGUUUCUGGAUAGAAUUAAUUCCAAAGAUGGGAAAAAAUGCACAUCCAGACAAGGAGCAAGCAAAAAGACAAGGAACUUGGUGCAGAGAAAAGCUGUGGCCAUUAACCCCCAUGUGAACAGCUUCAUGCAGUCCCUGAUUGAGUUCGAAUGGACGACUUCAAAGUAAAGGCCACUGUGGUCUGUCUGCCAGUUUAAUGCAUUUAUUUUUAGUGUUAAAUGAAAUUCAAGUAGAAUAUUUAAAACUAUGGGCCAGUGUUCUUUUUACCACAGUGAAAUGUUACCUUUUAGUCGAUGAUGGACUUUAAACUGAAAACUUCAAACUAUGGACCAGUGUUCUAUUUGCCAGAGUUAAAUAUGUUACAGCAGGGGUCUCCAAACUUGUUUAUACUUGUUGAUUUUAUUUUAUGUUACUUGAUUAUAUGUUUAUUAUUGUUUAAAAUCUUGUUUUAAAUGUUUUGUUUCAAUUAAAUGUUUUUUUAAAUAAAAUUUUGAUACAAACAUUGCUUGGAUUGCCUUUUAAUUCAUUAUGUCAUGUCAAGGAUAGCAUUUUUACCAUAUUAAUAACUAUAGAUUUAAACCUAAAUCUCUAUCUAUUUUAUAUAAUAUUAUUGUAUUAACUGUAAUAAGUAAUAAAUAGUAUUUAUGGGUCAAUAUAGACAUUACAGUAAAUUACUGUAAAAAUAGACUACUGUAAUAAAAUAUUGUAAAAUUACAGUACAGUACUGCUUUGUAACUAUACAGUACUAGUUUGUGUACUGUAAAAUGGUAUUACAGUACAGUACUGUAAACCCAAAAUACAGUAACUUACUGGCAACCGUGCUGCCAGUACCGUACUGUAA